UUGAACUUCCCAGACUCCAGAACUACUCCUGCCCCUGCCACGAGAACACACCCUUUCCAGUUUGCUGGAGAAAUAUAAGAGAAGUCCAGUGAAAGAGAGCUGAGUUUCCCCAAUGAUGCCAUCAAGAUGAACUAACUACAGUUAACCAGCCAGCUGAUAGCAGAUGCAUGAGUGAGCCCAGCUGAGAGCAGUUAACAACAUAGGCUCUGGUAACAUAAGGAGCAGGUCAUUUCAACACACACUGGCACACAAGAGCAGAUCUGGAACUAUGAAAGAGAGGAAUCUAGACCCAUCAGGUUGUGCAAGCAUGGCACGUGCAUCUGUUUGGCUUGUGGUGAGGCCUCAGGAAGCUUACAGUCAUGGUGGAAGGCAAAGAGGGAGCCAGUACAUCACGUGAACUCGUAGAGUGAGAACUCAUUCACUACCAUGAAGACAACACCAAGCCAUUCCUGAGUGCCUACAAUAGUUCCUGGUAUGUAGAAGGUAUACAAUAAAUAUUGGCGGAGUGAAGGAACAAAUGGGAUUUGCUUGAUUCUGCUGCAGAAGACUAAGAAAAAGACAUAAAUGAAUAAAUAACUAGUAGAAUGUUAACACAAUCAGAAAAAGGACCAUUUCUUUUCAUUUGGAUGUCUCAAAUCUAUUUGUUGUUUUUGUUGUUGUUGUUUUUCUGGCUGGGCUUGAAAUGUAGGCAUGCAGCCAGGAGGCUCCAUGCUGACUAAUGAGAUAGAGGUACCCAUUUAGCCCAGCAAUAUUCAUACAUUGUAUAUGCAUUCAUUUUUCUCUAGUGACUUUUUAAUAUAUUUUGGUGAAGAUAUUCCCAAGAUAAUGAAGAUAUGUUGAGUGGGCAUUAAAAGUGAUGAGUCUUUUUUUCCAUUAUCAAAGACAAAUACAGGUGUGUGAUGUAUGCAGAGAAUUAGAAGUAGGGAAAAAAAUGAGGGAAUCCAAAAUAAUGAAAAGAAAUUAAAGCUCUCCAAUAAUCGAAAGAAAGGCCAAACUGAAAACAUAAAUCUCCAGACUCUGCAAGGAUUUAUACUGAUGUGGGGCAUGUGGACCAAUGGCUUUCAGGAUGUGAUUCAUUUUGAAAAAAGUGUCAUUU
Long non-coding RNA from Homo sapiens (human), 1096 nucleotides. Ensembl annotates it as adipocyte associated metabolic related lncRNA 1. Its record names the gene ASMER1. The record is from Ensembl. NCBI's taxonomy places the organism in Eukaryota, Metazoa, Chordata, Mammalia, Primates, Hominidae.